This 301-nucleotide ribosomal RNA is filed under the name uncultured bacterium. Its description in RNAcentral is "partial 16S ribosomal RNA". It matches the Rfam family "Bacterial small subunit ribosomal RNA", at positions 509 to 807 of the family's 1533-position model. The record is from RNAcentral.
CAGCAGCCGCGGUAAUACAGAGGGUGCGAGCGUUAAUCGGAAUUACUGGGCGUAAAGGGCGCGUAGGCGGUUAGGAAGGUGUGAUGUGAAAGCCCUGGGCUUAACCUAGGAAGUGCAUCGCAAACCAACUAGCUGGAGUAUAAGAGAGGGUGGCGGAAUUUCCGGUGUAGCGGUGAAAUGCGUAGAGAUCGGAAGGAACGUCAAUGGCGAAGGCAGCCACCUGGCUUAAUACUGACGCUGAGGCGCGAAAGCGUGGGGAGCGAACAGGAUUAGAUACCCCAGUAGUCCCUGUCUCUUAUAC